AAAAAGUUCAGUUUUUAGUUUUUAUAUAACGUUUGGCUCUUCAUUUUAUUUAAAAAGUUUUACGAUUAAUAUUUUUAUUGUUGUUAAAUUAUAAAACAUGAAUAGUAUUUUAUAUGUGACUAAUUUUUUUUAGCUUUUCUAUAUCUUUUUUAAAUAAGACAGACAAUCAAAGGUUAGACACAGAAAUCCAAAAAUAAACUUGUU
This 204-nucleotide microRNA precursor is filed under the name Oryza meridionalis. RNAcentral's name for it is "MIR812 microRNA precursor family". It matches the Rfam family "MIR812 microRNA precursor family". The record is from Rfam by way of RNAcentral. Lineage: Eukaryota; Viridiplantae; Streptophyta; Magnoliopsida; Poales; Poaceae.